CCUACGGGAGGCAGCAGUGGGGAAUAUUGGGCAAUGGGCGCAAGCCUGACCCAGCAACGCCGCGUGAAGGAAGAAGGCUUUCGGGUUGUAAACUUCUUUUCUCAGGGACGAAGCAAGUGACGGUACCUGAGGAAUAAGCCACGGCUAACUACGUGCCAGCAGCCGCGGUAAUACGUAGGUGGCAAGCGUUAUCCGGAUUUAGUGGGUGUAAAGGGCGUGUAGGCGGGGACGCAAGUCAGAUGUGAAAACCACGGGCUCAACCUGUGGCGUGCAUUUGAAACUGGGUUUCUUGAGUGCUGGGAAGGCAGGCGGAAUUCGUGGUGUAGCGGUGAAAUGCGUAGAUAUUAGGAGGAACACCAGUGGCGAAGGCGGUCUGCUGGACAGCAACUGACGCUGAGGCGCGAAAGCGUGGGGAGCGAACAGGAUUAGAUACCCUAGUAGUC
Molecule: ribosomal RNA, 443 nt
Filed under: uncultured bacterium
Lineage: Bacteria
Description: partial 16S ribosomal RNA
Rfam family: Bacterial small subunit ribosomal RNA
Source: RNAcentral